CAUUUCAGCUAUUCCCAAAGUUGUAAAUGGCCAGAUGGUAGUGUGGUCGUGCCAGUUAAACACUUUGGUCACUCCUGUGCUUCCUAAUUUACUACCUUAGGUAAGUAAUAAGUGCUGACUGAAUAUGUACUGUGACUAGAGAAGUUACAUUUACCCAAAACGAAGAAGCACUUACCACUUGGUUUCCUGUUCCAUAUCAUUUACAGAACAGCAUUUUGUACGAGUGCGAAGACAGAAUCUACUCUCACCACACUUCAACCCACUGAGGAUUAUAUUAUCAGUCAGAAGAAGAAGAAAAUCUUCUCCUCACAGGAGGGUUGGAGAGCAGUUGAGCGAAGGCAAAGUCAGAGAAGGAGAAUCUCCCUGCACAAGCGGAUUUUAAGAGACUUUGCAAAUGAUGGUACUUGAAGCUGCAGAAACUCUUCUGAACUCAAGCACAGAUAUUGAAGCAUUCCUGUAUAAUCUGUCCAUCACAGCAAUGCUGCAUAAUUACUUCAUCCCCAUGAACAAAAGUACUGGUUCCAGUUACAUUUGGUAAGUAGUUUGUGCUCUUAAAAAGGGGUGGAUGGACGGUUAGGGGAGCCCUUGAAUUAUUAAAAGACUAUAUGAAGCACAGUCAUCUCCUGAUGGAGCAGGAGCAGUUUCCACACUGAGUAGACACACUUUUCCAUUUUAGACAGGAAACACCGAACACUUAAAACUUGGUAAGAUGGAAAUUGAAAUACCGGAAUUUCUGAUUCCUGCCAUGAUGCCUCCUUUGGAGACCAGCAUGCCAGGCCUAUGCAGCACAAGGAGGGAGAGAGAAAGAACUGAACCCUGCGGGAUGAGUGCAUCACUCGUGGAUAAGCAGGUUGCAGCUGUCUACUUUCCAGCUGCUGCCAUGGAAUUCCACAGGGUUCCAUUUUGUCCCCCAAGCUUUUUAACAUCUGCAUGAAACAGCUGGGAGAGGUCAGCUGGAGGUUUGGGCUAUGGUGCCAUCAGAACGCUGAUGACACCCAGCUCUACCUCUCUCUUGCCUCUAGUCCGGGUGAGGUAGGAGCUGUACUCAACCAGUGCCUGGCCGAGGUAAUGGGCUGGAUGAGGGCCAAUACAUUGAGACUUCAUCCUGAUAAGAGGGAGGUCCUGUUGGUUGGCAGUUCAGCCUUCCAGGCAAGUGCUUUUAGCCCUGUCCAGGAGUGGGUUCCACUCCCCCUAAAGGAUAUGGUUUGCAGUUUGGGAGUGCUCCU
Molecule: long non-coding RNA, 1226 nt
Organism: Varanus komodoensis (Komodo dragon)
Lineage: Eukaryota; Metazoa; Chordata; Lepidosauria; Squamata; Varanidae
Exons: 3
Source: RefSeq, a predicted model, not a curated record